RNAcentral lists this ribosomal RNA (119 nucleotides) under Pteropus alecto (black flying fox). The record is from RNAcentral. Lineage: Eukaryota; Metazoa; Chordata; Mammalia; Chiroptera; Pteropodidae.
GCCUACGGCCACGCCACCCUGAACAAGCCCGAUCCUGUCUGAUCUCGGAAGCUAAGCAGGGUCGGGCCUGGUGAGUACUUGGAUGGGAGACCACUUAGGAAGACCAGGUGCUGUAGGCG